CUUUCCUUCUGCCUCUUCCUCCUCCUCCUCACCUUCCUUCUCCUCCUCCUCCUCAUUGCCUCUUCCUCUUCCUCCUCCCCUCCUCGUUCUCCUCUUCCUCUCCUUCUUCCUCUUCUUCCUCUCCUUCUUCCUCCUCUUCCUCUUCUUUCUCCUCCACUUCCUCUUCUUUCUCCCCUCUCCUUCCUCCUCCUCCUCUUCCUUUCUCCUCCUCCUCCUCCUCCUUCCUCCUCCUCCUUCUCCUCAUGUAUGAGGCUUGCUCCAGCAUCCCCUGGUUAAUUACGCUCUACAUUCAAGGAUCCUAAAAGAAAAAUCCUUUCUUGGGUAUUUCACGGGCCUUUCCUCCACCCGAGAAGUUUCAAUCUAUUCCUAACCUCCCUUCCCCCCUCCUCCCAUGCUGCCUGAUGCUAUGAUGCCACAAUCCAGUCUCUGUGACUUGGCGAAAUGUUUCCAUGGUGAUGAGCAAUGAUGUCAUAAAGGAGGGAUUGUUGCAGGGUUGAAUGAAAUCUGGCACCAGAUGGACCUGCCUCCUUACCCAAGAGGAGAGGGAAAUGAUAAGUUGUGGGUGCUUCCAGAAAACGGGAAAGCAAAUCACUCAGUGGAUGGUGAGGAAGGAAAGACCCAGUCCUCCACAUCGGACGCUGGCAGCCCAAAUUGGAAAAGAACGUAUUUAUUGGACCUCACCAAGACAAAAAUCACUUUUCAGCCAAAGAAUCAAAGGAAAAAUCAAAGAGACAUAGCAUGAAGAGACCACACCUUCUGGUCUAGAAAGACCCGAGAUGACAGUAGCUUCAUCCACCCAAGUGUCAAGUAGAAAAUGGCUACUGAAUAAAAAAGCCAGGGGCUCUUCCUGAGCAGAAGCUUUGACGUCUGUGUGUCUCGUUUAAACAAACAAACAAACGACAAAACCAAACUUCGAUCGCUGUGCUUUGAGUAGCAGGCAGCAGAGCAACAAGUCAUCCCUGGAAACCACUGCAACUGUCUGUGGCCAAACCACCCAGGAUGUGCCUGACCUCAACUGAUCCCGAAGCAGGGUUGGCCAUGGCUAGUACAUGCACAGAAGAGAAUGCUCAUGAGUAAAGCCAGACAUUUACCUUGGCAAGACAGGUUACCUAGGCAGGAUCUGGUGAUGUCUCCGGCUGGAUCUUUCUCUGCCCCCUGGCAGUUCAGCAUAACUGCGGGAUGGCCAUGCGGCAAGUACCAAGGAAUUAGGCAGGCCCUUUCCAUAAAGGAUUUUGCUUGAUCCCACAGGAGGGUGUUGGGGCUGGAGCUGUGGACGGUGCCAUGGUGAUUUUCCCAUGUACAAGCAGCUGGUUUUCCAGAAAUUUUCCUCUUCCAGAAAGUUCCGGUCCACAGCACAUGCCAAGUCCACAUACGGCGAACGCACACUUGUACAACCUUCAUUGUUAUUCAAGAACUAACUUCAAAGGGAAGCCUUUUUCUCCAUCCAGGAAGCCUGACACACUCUCCUCUGUGCCCACACAUGCCUAGAGAUGGGGUAACCGCUCUCUUGUUUAUAGUAGAGAGCAGGAGGCAGUAUUUUCAGAUGUCAGCGCGGUCUUAACCAAACCACUUGGCAUGUUUAAGAAGAAAGACAGAUGGCCGGAGGGCUACGCUCCCAGAAUACUCUACAGCCCCCAAGAAUAUUACAAUAGCUGUUGCCAUGUUGGCAGGAAUGUGUCCUAGCAGUAGCUCCUCUCAUCGCUCCUUCGCCAUAACACUGAGGGACCUGGCAAACUGGGUUCUUCCUUGAUACUCCACCUCCACAACAGUGCGAUCUCUGAGAAGGAGCAACUGUGCGACUGUUCCUCACAUAAGCACAUGCCCCUAGCAGAACACAGAGGCCAAGGAGCAAGCAAAGCCAUACGCCAAGAGCCCUGAGUUCAGCAAAUCAUCUCUGCCAACUUCAAGCAUUUGGAAGCAAAGCCAGUUGUGUAUUCAUGUGUACAAUUGUGUGUGUGUGUGUGUGUGUGUGUGUGUGUGUGUGUGUGUAUGUUGUGUGUACACACUUGCAUCUAUGAGUUAGAGGCCGAAUUCCACUAUCGUUCCUCGGGAGCAGUCUAGCUUUUCGAGACAGGGAGUCACAUUAGAAUUGAGGCUUACGGGUUAGGGUCUCUGCCGCCCCAGAGCUUUGAUUACAAGCAUGCACUACCAGGCCUGGCUUCAUCCAUCAGCGCUGGGGAUCGAACUCAGACCUUCUGCUUGCUCGUCACGGAGCAGCCUGCCUAAGCCACUUCCUGCUCCCAAAGAAAGCUGAACUAUUUUAAGUAAUUUUGUGUGGAUCGCGUGACCAAGUUAAUAGACAAGGACUCUACCCGGAGCACCAAAAGGUGCCAUGUGCUAAAUUGAGACCCUGGGGCUUUGCAGAUUUGCUGUCCUCUGCUGAGAGAUGUAGAGAAGCGUGAGCUUCGUCUGGCUUACAAAUUCCCUGAAGCGGCCAGCAGUACUUCCUCUCCUUGAAAAGGAGUGCACUGUGCUUCAGGAAGGAUCCCUCAAGGGACUGGGCUGCCCUCCUGGGCUGACUCUACCCCUUUCAGUCCCACCUUAAAAUCCCCCCUCAGGUUAACUGUUCACAGUGCACUCCAGGCUGGGAUCUGGUCAAAAGAUGUACCUCUGAGUACCCGCAAGCUCCACCACUCUCCUUGUCUGUGACAAAUGCCUGACUGCCUGAAGUAAAAAUUACCUACAGACGCACAGCCAGCACAUUCCAGAGGCCUCGGGAAGGUGAGAAGGUUGGGGAGUGGCUGGUGCGCUCUUAGUUACCGAACACCAGAAAAAUACAAAAGGAGAAAGCUGGGGUGGCCAGGGUAAAGGGAAAAGCUACUGGCUCACUCAGCAGUGGCCUGUGUAUGCUGAAAGUCUAUCCUGGUUGCUCAGCAACCAAAAGAAAGCGUUUCAGAGAGCAAGGGGCUAAUUGGACAAAUGAAUUAAUUAGACAUUUCCGGAGUCAAUGUAAAUGACAACAGGCUUGGGUGGUCACUGUUCUUGUUAGACAUUUCUGGUUUCCCCCAUCCCUACCUGAGCACUGGUCUGGCAAAUACUGGAUAGAGAGGAGAACCAUGUAAGAAUGUGUCAGGAGAUACUUGGAGGGUCAGGCAAUGGGUAGACCCUGUGACCUGGAGACACUGAACUAGAUGACCUUUGAGUUCUCUUCUGCCUCUUGAUAUUUGAUCAGUGUUUGCACUGCAAGGGAGGGGGGCGGGGAAGGAGUAAAGCCCCAUUCAAGCACCCUGAAGGUGACUUAAUAACUGGCCUCCCCACUGACCCAUGGGGUUUCCCUUUGCUGUAUUUAAUGCCAGCAGCUCCCCUUGAAAGCAGAUAGACUGGGGGGAGCUGUUAGGGAGUUUGUGUGGGAAAUGAGAUAUUUUGUUGGCGGCUGCUUUCCCCCCCUUGCUCUGCUCUGCUUCCCCUGUUGGCUUCCUUUAAUCACAGCAGACCCCCACUGCUUGCUCUAAUGAUGGAGAGAACCUCUACUGUGCAGGAGAGGGAGCAGGCAAGAGGCACUGCUGGUGAGAUCGAUUCAGGCAGAGGGAGAGCAUGGUGACCAACCGACUCCAGAACCAGAAGGAGAGAGGCAAUGUGGACUUCUGCUUCAGGAAGCAAUUUCUGCUGGUUUCCCCAUGGGAACUGCUACACCUCUCUGAGCCUCUAUGUCCAUCCUGCAACGCAGGGAGACAGCAUUUGCUGACGCACUGAGGCUGAUCAAUGUGACUGCUAUUUAAUUACACGUCUCCCUUAUUGAACAUGACUAAAGUCUGUCUAUAAUUACAGACACUAAGAGCAAAUAUGUCAUUAGACCAUGCCUCUGUGACCCUGACUCCACCCUCCAUUUCUACCUCCCCUUGGUUGCCCCCAUACACACAUACGGGUUCACCUCACCCCCAGUUCUCCUCAUCCUGUUACUCACCUAGAAACACACACAGCCAAGCAGUUUAAGAGAACAGGGGCACAGGUGUGCCCAAUGGGGAAAGAGGAGAAACUGAAGUGGGCUCUGCACCUAGCAUCCAGGAGAAUUCAGGUCAGGUAAGGGGCCCCCAUGAGGCAUGCUGUGGUCAUCAGCCACACCUUGUUUGUAGUGCUGGGCCUGGUUACUGAAGCCACCAGGCCUUGGGUGCUUCUCUUUACCACAAGGCUUACCUCACAAGAAACUUCAUCAAGUCUCCAUGAGGAUUGAUCAGAUGCUGGAGAAGGUCACACUUCACGUCAGGCACACACUAGGGGCUCAGUAAGUGCUGUCCAGGAAUGAUAUCAGAUCAAAACAAGCUUGAAUGACAUAGAGCUGAUUUCCUUGCCUCCAGCCUCUUGGCCUCUCCCAACCCCCACUCUAAGCUUCGACUUCUGUAUGAUUAAUGUAGGAGACUCAACAGCCUUACACCCUAAAAGGCUUUUUUGCCUUGUUUGGCCUCCACCCUGCUGCUAAACAUGGCAUGAACCCCACAGUCUAACUCUUUUCCUCACAGUUUCCUCAUCCAUAAAGUAGAAAGUAAUUCGUCCCAGCUCUUAAAGUCGCUGAGACAGGAAAAUAAAAAAGGCACAAGGCAAAGUCCCAAGAUCAGUAUGCCUAUGUCGAGGACUUCCAGUCACUAGUGAUUCUUGACUCCAAGGACUCCUUUUGGCCCUACUGUUGGGUAGAUUUCAAGUUCCCAGAAAACCAAGAGUGGAGUGGAAUUGUAGUCAACUCCUUAAGUGUGGAGACACAGUUAGGAACCAGCUUAUCAUAGUUUAGAGACCAUUCACAGCAGGUCUCUGUGAUAGCCCCAGGGGCUCAGACUCUUGAAUGCUUAGACCCCCAUGGAGUGAAACUGAGAAAGAUUGAAAGGAUUGGGAAACUUGACCUUGUUAGAGUAGGCGGGGUCUUGUUGAAGGAAGUGUGUCACUGGGGGUUGGCUUUGAGGUCUCCAAAGCUCACUCCAGGCUCAGUCCCUUAUUCUUAUCUGCUGCCUACAGAUCGGGAUGUGCAGCUCCCAGAUACUGCUCUACUCUCUGUCUGCCUCCUGCUAUGAUGGUAAUGGACUAACCCUCUAAAAUGAUGAACAAGCCAGUAAGCAGCAUCCUUCCAUGGCCUCUGCAUCGGCUCCUGAAUCCAGGUUCCUGCCCUGCUUGAGUGAGUUCCUGUGCUGACUUCCUUCAACGGUGGACUAUGAUGUACAAGUCUAAGCCAAAUAAACCCUUUCCUCCCUA
Rattus norvegicus (Norway rat) is the source of this 5178-nucleotide non-coding RNA. The record is from RefSeq and is a predicted model, not a curated record. NCBI's taxonomy places the organism in Eukaryota, Metazoa, Chordata, Mammalia, Rodentia, Muridae.